GGAAUUGACGGGGGCCCGCACAAGCGGUGGAGCAUGUGGUUUAAUUCGAUGAUACGCGAGGAACCUUACCUGGGCUCAAAUGUAUGUUGACGUAUUCUGAAAGGGAUACUUCUUCGGACAAUAUACAAGGUGCUGCAUGGUUGUCGUCAGCUCGUGCCGUGAGGUGUCGGGUUAAGUCCCAUAACGAGCGCAACCCCUAUCAUUAGUUGCCAUCAGGUCAAGCUGGGGACUCUAAUGAAACUGCCUACGCAAGUAGUGAGGAAGGUGGGGAUGACGUCAAAUCAGCACGGCCCUUACGUCCAGGGCUACACACGUGCUACAGUGGCCGGUACAAAGGGCAGCUACCUGGUGACAGGAUGCUAAUCUCAAAAGCCGGUCUCAGUUCGGAUCGGAGUCUGCAACCCGACUCCGUGAAGCUGGAGUCGCUAGUAAUCGCGCAUCAGCCAUGGCGCGGUGAAUACGUUCCCGGGCCUU
Molecule: ribosomal RNA, 474 nt
Filed under: uncultured Sphingobacteriales bacterium
Lineage: Bacteria; Pseudomonadati; Bacteroidota; Sphingobacteriia; Sphingobacteriales
Description: bacterial SSU rRNA
Rfam family: Bacterial small subunit ribosomal RNA
Source: RNAcentral